This is a non-coding RNA of Acanthosepion pharaonis, 102 nucleotides long. Lineage: Eukaryota; Metazoa; Mollusca; Cephalopoda; Sepiida; Sepiidae. The record is from the annotation of a GenBank genome assembly.
CAUUGAAACACCGAAUUCCUGUUAUGAUCACUGAAGUGAAGCAAUGUCGAGUCUGGUCUAUACCUAGAUGGGUGACCACUUGGGAAUACCAAGUGCUGUAAG